RNAcentral lists this ribosomal RNA (1131 nucleotides) under Triticum aestivum (bread wheat). RNAcentral describes it as "partial small subunit ribosomal RNA". The record is from RNAcentral. Lineage: Eukaryota; Viridiplantae; Streptophyta; Magnoliopsida; Poales; Poaceae.
AUGGCGCCGCCGCUCGCCGCCCCGCGCUUCCACGCCGCCCUCCCCCGCGGCCUCCUCCUCCGCCCCCGGAAGCCCCUCCGCUCCUGGCGCCGCGCCGCUCGCCCGGACGACCAGGAUCUGUACGUCGACGACGACAUCGGAGACGGCUUCUCGUUCAGCGGGGGGAAGUAUGCGGAAGCGGAAGGCCCGAGUAAGUCGGACGAGUGGUUCGCUCAGGGGAGAAUGGUAAAAGCUCAUGCAUUAUAUGGGAACAAAGAAAAGGCAAAGGAUCCGUUUUUUGGGCUCACCAUGGGUUCAGGAUCACAAUCUUCGGGUGAUGUUUUUAAUUGGUUUUGUGUGGAAGCGGGGAGUUCUUCUAAUCCUACGGUCCUUCUAAUCCAUGGGUUUCCAUCUCAGGCAUACUCUUACCGAAAUGUGCUACCUGUACUAUCAGACAAGUAUCGUUCCAUUGCUUUUGACUGGCUUGGUUUUGGAUUCUCAGACAAGCCUCAACCUAAAUAUGGUUUUGACUAUACUCUGGAUGAAUAUACUUCAGCCCUGGAAUCGUUAAUCGAUGCUGUUGCUCCUGAUAAGCUCUCCAUUGUUGUUCAGGGGUACUUCGCUCCAAUUGUAGUCAAAUAUGCUAACGAACAUCAGGACAAGUUGAACCACCUUAUACUGGUUAAUCCACCGAUAACUGACAAGCAUGCAAAGCUUCCAUCCACCCUUGCAUGUUUCAGCAACUUCUUGUUGGGCGAAGUAUUUUCCCAGGAUCCUCUUAGAGCUAGUGAUAAGGCCUUGACUAGUAGUGGGCCAUACAUGAUGAAGGAGGAAGAUGCUACUGUAUAUAGAAGGCCAUACCUUGUCUCAGGUGCAUCUGGUUUUGCACUGAACGCAAUAACAAGAGCUAUGGGAAAGGAUCUUAAGGCUUACAUUGAGUCCAUGAGGAGCAUAUUAGCGAGUGAUUCAUGGAAUACGAAGACAACAAUAUGUUGGGGCUUGAGGGAUCGUUGGCUCACUUAUGAUGGGGUGGAAGAUUUUUGUGAUGGCCUAAAACACAACGUUGUUCAGCUGCCAAUGGCAGGGCACCAUGCUCAGGAGGAUCGUGGUGAAGAGCUAGGGAAUAUAAUAAAACGUAUACUGAGAGGAUGA